AUAUUGUCGCUCUUUGGAGAAAUC
This 24-nucleotide small nuclear RNA is filed under the name Arabidopsis thaliana (thale cress). RNAcentral describes it as "snRNA_00240". Lineage: Eukaryota; Viridiplantae; Streptophyta; Magnoliopsida; Brassicales; Brassicaceae. The record is from RNAcentral.